AUUGAACUCUGGCGGCAGGCCUAACACAUGCAAGUCGAGCGAGCGGCGGAAGGGUGAGUAAUGUAUGGGGACUGCCCGAUAGAGGGGGAUAACUACUGGAAACGGUAGCUAAUACCGCAUACUAUCGGAUAACCCAUAUGGGAUUAGCUAGUAGGUGAGUUAAUGGCUAACCUAGGCGACGAUCCCUAGCUGGGCUGAGAGGAUGAACAGCCACACUGGGCCUUGGACACGGCCCAGUCUCCUACGGAGGACGCAGGGUGGAAUAUGGCACAAUGGGCGCAAGCCUGCUGCAGCCAUGCCGCGUGUAUGCAGAAGGCCCUAGGGUUGUAAAGUACUUUCAGUCGGGAGGCGUUACCGACAUAAGAAGCACCGGCUAACUCCGUGCCAGCAGCCGCGGUAAUUC
This 403-nucleotide ribosomal RNA is filed under the name uncultured bacterium. RNAcentral's name for it is "partial 16S ribosomal RNA". It matches the Rfam family "Bacterial small subunit ribosomal RNA", at positions 30 to 526 of the family's 1533-position model. The record is from RNAcentral.